Balaenoptera acutorostrata (minke whale) is the source of this 586-nucleotide long non-coding RNA. RefSeq lists it as uncharacterized. Lineage: Eukaryota; Metazoa; Chordata; Mammalia; Artiodactyla; Balaenopteridae. The record is from RefSeq and is a predicted model, not a curated record. The transcript is spliced from 3 exons.
CUCCGGACACACGCGCACAGACGCGCCCUGAGAGGAGCAGCAGAGGGCGCAGGCGCACGGGCAACCGCCCAGCCCAGCCCAGCCCAGCCGGAAGGCAGCGAGCCGCCCGGCUGCCCAUCACCUGAGAGGCGGGGGAACGCGAGGAGCCAGGGGGAGCAGGUCUCCAGAAAAGUCAGCUGCUGAGGUAGAGAGCCCACUCGGAAUAAGGACAUUGUUUCUGUUCGUUUAUUCUGUGCCGUGGACACCCACCAUGUCUCAGAAACCAUAGUAGGUUCUGGGGACCAAAGAUGAACAGGACAGAUCCCUGGACUGAGGAAACCUCUGUCUUGUGGAAGACAUACCCCUGCUGGAAUGUUAAACGUCUGGCACUGCCUGAAGCCUUGCUCCGUGGCACAUGGAAAAUUCCAACCUGCAGUGGUAGAGAAUGAGGACAUGCACAGUGAGGAGUGAUGGAGGGAGAGAAAGAUAGUCUUGAUGGUAACAGCUGAGUCUCUCCUUUGAGUUAUCCCUGAGGUGGUCUCUGACGUUGCUUAAGACCCAGGAAACAUGCCCCUUGGCUGGUCUACAACAUUUCAUAGAAUAAAAA